This 371-nucleotide ribosomal RNA is filed under the name uncultured bacterium. RNAcentral's name for it is "bacterial SSU rRNA". It matches the Rfam family "Bacterial small subunit ribosomal RNA", at positions 130 to 520 of the family's 1533-position model. The record is from RNAcentral.
CCCGAAGUGGGGAAUAACUGCCCGAUAAGGGUGGCUAAUACCGCAUGUGAUCGUUCAUUCGGUUGAUCUGAUCAAAGCAGCAAUGCGCUUUGGGAGGGGCCUGCGUCCGAUUAGCUCGUUGGUGGGGUAAUGGCUCACCAAGGCGACGAUCGGUAGGUGGUCUGAGAGGACGAUCACCCAGACUGGGCACUGAGCCAGGGUCAAGAUCUAAUACGGGAGGCAGCAGCGGGAAUUGCUCAAUGGGCGCAAGCCUGAAGCAGCAACGCCGCGUGAGGGAUGAAGGCCUUCGGGUUGUAAACCUCUUUUAUCAGGGACGAUUAUGACGGUACCUGAUGAAUAAGCCACGGCUAACUACGUGCCAGCCGCCGCGG